Molecule: ribosomal RNA, 295 nt
Filed under: Sphingomonadaceae bacterium MS103b
Lineage: Bacteria; Pseudomonadati; Pseudomonadota; Alphaproteobacteria; Sphingomonadales; Sphingomonadaceae
Description: partial 16S ribosomal RNA
Rfam family: Bacterial small subunit ribosomal RNA
Source: RNAcentral
CUGACGCUAAUACCGGAUGAUGACGAAAGUCCAAAGAUUUAUCGCCCAGGGAUGAGCCCGCGUAGGAUUAGCUAGUUGGUGAGGUAAAGGCUCACCAAGGCUACGAUCCUUAGCUGGUCUGAGAGGAUGAUCAGCCACACUGGGACUGAGACACGGCCCAGACUCCUACGGGAGGCAGCAGUAGGGAAUAUUGGACAAUGGGGGCAACCCUGAUCCAGCAAUGCCGCGUGAGUGAUGAAGGCCUUAGGGUUGUAAAGCUCUUUUACCCGAGAUGAUAAUGACAGUAUCGGGAGUA